CCUACGGGAGGCAGCAGUGAGGAAUAUUGGUCAAUGGACGAGAGUCUGAACCAGCCAAGUAGCGUGAAGGAUGACUGCCCUAUGGGUUGUAAACUUCUUUUAUAAAGGAAUAAAACGAGGCACGUGUGCCUUUUUGCAUGUACUUUAUGAAUAAGGAUCGGCUAACUCCGUGCCAGCAGCCGCGGUAAUACGGAGGAUCCGAGCGUUAUCCGGAUUUAUUGGGUUUAAAGGGAGCGUAGAUGGGUUGUUAAGUCAGUUGUGAAAGUUUGCGGCUCAACCGUAAAAUUGCAAUUGAUACUGGCAGUCGUGAGUACAGUUGAGGUAGGCGGAAUGCGUGGUGUAGCGGUGAAAUGCUUAGAUAUCACGAAGAACCCCGAUUGCGAAGGCAGCUUACUAAACUGUGACUGACGUUGAUGCUCGAAAGUGUGGGUAUCAAACAGGAUUAGAUACCCUAGUAGUC
Molecule: ribosomal RNA, 460 nt
Filed under: uncultured bacterium
Lineage: Bacteria
Description: partial 16S ribosomal RNA
Rfam family: Bacterial small subunit ribosomal RNA
Source: RNAcentral